CUGCCCUGCUCCCCUUCUCUGAUCCUUAGUACCCAGAUGCAGCUGCCAUCUCAGUGCAGUGCACCUGGACAAGGAUUCAAAGAGGGUGAG
This is a microRNA precursor of Loxodonta africana (African savanna elephant), 90 nucleotides long. The record is from Ensembl. Lineage: Eukaryota; Metazoa; Chordata; Mammalia; Proboscidea; Elephantidae.